GGGAUGCUAGAGCAACUGAUUAUGCUUAUAAAAUUAAGACGUCAUAGAGGACAAUCAUUGGACACACUGCAAAUGAUUACAAUCCAUUAAACAUGAAUUCAAUGAGGAAAAUUGGAUUGCUGUUUGAGAUGAGAAUUCACUAGGUACCAUUCCUGGAAUCUUAAAUUGCUGUUUGAGAUGGGAAUUCACAAAGUACAGUUACUGAGACUCUUGAAUUAAGAAUUAAACUCGAGCAAACAGAUGAUCACAAUGCAUUGUUGCCACAGUAUAUGCCAAUUAGCAUGGUCAACAUGAGAUCCAUAUUAACCAGGACAAGCCAGCAUUAGCAAAAGGGUUUGUCAGCACACCCUUCCCUUGGCACUCAAAGGGCCUCCAAGCUACGCAGUAGCUUAAGCACCGGAUCUGGGGCCUAACAACUAACCUGUUAUUGCUUGAUUACUACAAAUACAUUGCUAAAUGAUAAAAGAGGAUCAGGAUACUGAAACGUUUUGACAAAUGCAACAUAUCAAAAUGUAGUUUUCUUUUGAUAAAUCAUAUUUAGAAAUAUUUGUCUCUAAAGAAAUAGCAACAACCAUGGAUACAUUGGCUUAUUAAUCUAUCAAACCCUCUUUAUAAUGAAUAUGUUUUACAUAACAUUGAUCAUAUGUCUCGUAUACAUGUCCACACGACACCCCGAUUAUCUGAUGGCAUACUAUUUCAUGAUGCCAUUCGAGUUUUAAAAACAAUAUUGAUGAUAAUCCAUGAAACCCAAAAAAAUGAACAUGUAAAUGAGUUAUUUAAGAUAUAUCUGUAAUCAUUCUAAACAGAGAGUAUUGUUGUAAAUGAGACGAUUCAAUAAAAAAAAUACUUAAUCAACCAUCAUAUAAACAUUGCCUUAUCAGCAAGACAGCCCAUACCAUUCCCUAGUCCAACCUACAAUUUACCUCACCAUAGGGGGAUAUUGACAAGUACCAAUUCAGUAUGCCACCAAGAAAAAAGAAGAAAAAUUUGAGAAAAAGAAAUAGAUAUAUCUUCAUGAUGCAAUUCCAAUUGUCUAUUUUUUGUUCUUUCUUGAUGACCUAUUGCUUGGGAGGAGACUGUGCAGAUCAUGCCACUAGCAGGAUUUCACCAAGAAUCUGAUCAAAUAAGGGGAAUGUCAUCGCCAACAGAGCAACCAGGCUAGACUACUUCUGAUCUAGAAUGGGUGACAAGUGGGUGGUUCUACUUCUAGCAGGGAUCCUAUGCACCAUCUGUUGACAUCUUGUGAUGGAGGUCAAUAAGAGCGUAUUAGAAACAUCCAGGUUCAAAUGACACGGAUACCAUCAAAGGACACUACUAAUUCCACGGAAGGUGUUUAUAUAAGGUUAUAAACUACAUAAAGAUUUCACGGGACUACGAUUUCUUCUCUCACAAUUUUGUAACCUAGAGUCGAAAUUUUCCCCAUCUUCUUUCCCAUUAAAUCCAUGCUUCUAGCGUUCAUAUUUCACAUAUCAGUCCAAUAUGUCAACUAGAUAAUCUUACCAAAUGAAGUUGAUUUAGGGGUAGAGACAGGGGAGCGAUAACAAAACCGUUUCUAGAAAACCAUACGGAACCAAGAACACAUCAAUACUAGUUCUUACCCAAUCUGCAAACUCGUGAGAGGAAAGAAGCAGCGAUCCUCACGAGUUCCCAUCGCAAUUCUGCUGCAAAAAGAAAUUAUCCCUCUGUUAGGAGUAAUCAAAGCCAAAAAUUUAUCCCCAAAACACCAAAUCUGGCGUCAGGAUGAAGUUAAAAAGAAGAAGAAAACCGCUGAUCAGGUCAAAAUGCUUCCAUCGCUUACCACCACCGGUUCCACCGAACCUCAUCACCACC
RNAcentral lists this long non-coding RNA (1830 nucleotides) under Musa acuminata (dwarf banana). RNAcentral describes it as "long non-coding RNA (MACU_LNC010587)". Lineage: Eukaryota; Viridiplantae; Streptophyta; Magnoliopsida; Zingiberales; Musaceae. The record is from RNAcentral.